This 253-nucleotide ribosomal RNA is filed under the name uncultured bacterium. RNAcentral describes it as "partial 16S ribosomal RNA". It matches the Rfam family "Bacterial small subunit ribosomal RNA", at positions 524 to 776 of the family's 1533-position model. The record is from RNAcentral.
UACGAAGGGGGCUAGCGUUGCUCGGAAUCACUGGGCGUAAAGGGCGCGUAGGCGGUCCCUCAAGUCAGGCGUGAAAGCCCCGGGCUCAACCUGGGAACCGCGCUUGAGACUGAUGGGCUAGAGUUCGGGAGAGGAUGGUGGAAUUCCCAGUGUAGAGGUGAAAUUCGUAGAUAUUGGGAAGAACACCGAUGGCGAAGGCAGCCAUCUGGACCGACACUGACGCUGAGGCGCGAAAGCGUGGGGAGCAAACAGG